AUUGAACGCUGGCGGCAGGCCUAACACAUGCAAGUCGAGCGGAUGAAGGGAGCUUGCUCCUGGAUUCAGCUGCGGACGGGUGAGUAAUGCCUAGGAAUCUGCCUUGUAGUGGGGGCUAACGUCCGGACACGGGCGCUAAUACCGCAUACGUCCUGAUGGAGAAAGUGGGGGAUCUUCGGACCUCACGCUAUCAGAUGAGCCUAGGUCGGAUUAGCUAGUUGGUGGGGUAAAGGCCUACCAAGGCGACGAUCCGUAACUGGUCUGAGAGGAUGAUCAGUCACACUGGAACUGAGACACGGUCCAGACUCCUACGGGAGGCAGCAGUGGGGAAUAUUGGACAAUGGGCGAAAGCCUGAUCCAGCCAUGCCGCGUGUGUGAAGAAGGUCUUCGGAUUGUAAAGCACUUUAAGUUGGGAGGAAGGGCAGUAAGUUAAUACCUUGCUGUUUUGACGUUACCAACAGAAUAAGCACCGGCUAACUUCGUG
This 484-nucleotide ribosomal RNA is filed under the name uncultured bacterium. Its description in RNAcentral is "partial 16S ribosomal RNA". It matches the Rfam family "Bacterial small subunit ribosomal RNA", at positions 30 to 507 of the family's 1533-position model. The record is from RNAcentral.